RNAcentral lists this non-coding RNA (125 nucleotides) under Streptomyces coelicolor. The record is from RNAcentral. Lineage: Bacteria; Bacillati; Actinomycetota; Actinomycetes; Kitasatosporales; Streptomycetaceae.
GAGGAAGCCGGUGCGAAUCCGGCGCGGUCCCGCCACUGUGAUCGGUGAGCGGAUCCCGAAGUUGCCACUGCCCCGGUAGGGGCGGGAAGGCCGGGACGAGCUGUGACCCGGGAGCCAGGAAACUC